CAGCCUACGCCCGGAGUUCCGUUGUCGUCCAGUGAAGUGCGUGAGCUCACGCGCUUCUAGAAGUUUUAUGCUGUUCCUCAUGCGCUAGCUCGUGCACCCUUUUCCUGGUGAUUUUUCUGGCGCACUUCUAACCAAUGUGUUUCCCACACCUGGUUCGCACAUUUAUUUUUUGGAUACCUUUUGUUAUCCAACUUUUUCCUUUCUGUCUCGGUACCUAUUCUUUUAAUUGAAGAUGAUUGAUGGAAAGAAGGAAG
This 254-nucleotide unclassified non-coding RNA is filed under the name Hevea brasiliensis (rubber tree). The record is from RNAcentral. Lineage: Eukaryota; Viridiplantae; Streptophyta; Magnoliopsida; Malpighiales; Euphorbiaceae.